GAGUAGUUAGCUUAAGUUUAAAGCACCGGAUUUUUAAUCCGGGGAUUAAUCUGCUUA
Molecule: transfer RNA, 57 nt
Filed under: Strongyloides stercoralis
Lineage: Eukaryota; Metazoa; Nematoda; Chromadorea; Rhabditida; Strongyloididae
Description: tRNA-Lys
Source: RNAcentral